Molecule: long non-coding RNA, 773 nt
Organism: Mus musculus (house mouse)
Lineage: Eukaryota; Metazoa; Chordata; Mammalia; Rodentia; Muridae
Product: predicted gene, 26873
Exons: 3
Source: RefSeq, a predicted model, not a curated record
CACAGUUGGCAGUGUAUGGCUUGAUCCUCAAGCAGACAUCUGAUGUCCUGACUCAGAAAGCAAACCCAUUUCUAAGAUUGGUAGACAUUUGCCCUUUAGCUUAUAUCAUUCAGUCAUUGUAUUUCCAGGUUAGAAAAGCUGGAAAGGAAAGGAUCUAACAUUCUCGUAUUCACACUCACUGGACAGAGCAGCGGCAGAGCAAGUGGUUCAUUCCAGAGGUUUGUGUAAUCUUGGCUCUCCUGGAACUCACUCUCCAGACCAGGAUGACCUCAAACUCCAAUCUACCUGCUGAUUGCCACCAUGCCUGGCUAUGUUUUUAUUUACUUACCAGACAGGGUCUUUCUACAUAGCUCUGGCUGUCCUCAAAGUGUGUAGACCAGGCUGCUUCCUGAGUGCUUGGAAUUAAAGGAAGGCACCACCACCCCGGCUCUGGGCCAAUGAGAACGGCACCAAAAGACCCGCUGCUGCUCGUCUACCCAUUACUGAUUCAUCUCCACUCCAGAAGUCUAAAGAAACAGAAGACGAUCAGUUUCACUCCAAUGGUCAAAUAACUGUGUACUGACUGUCUCAGGUGAUCCUAAAGCCAACUCACCAAUGUAGUAAAAGCCCAAGUGUGACCGACUGAAGGAGAAAAGAGAGAACUACAGAUUGCAUUAAGUUGUUCUAUUAUUUAUUACAUGUAAAUCCAGAAUCUGAGGCAAGUCAUUUUUCUACCUGUUUAAGGCAGAGUCUGAACAUCACAGUGAAAUAAAAAUGAUGUCCAUGUUUUGCAA